AUUGAACGCUGGCGGCAGGCCUAACACAUGCAAGUCGAGCGAGAGGCGGACGGGUGAGUAAUGUCUGGGAAACUGCCCGAGGGAGGGGGAUAACUACUGGAAACAGUAGCUAAUACCGCAUACCAUCAGAGGUGCCCAUAUGGGAUUAGCUGGUGGGUGGGGUAACGGCUCACCUAGGCGACGAUCCCUAGCUGGUCUGAGAGGAUGACCAGCCACACUGGAACUGAGACACGGUCCAGACUCCUACGGGAGGCAGCAGUGGGGAAUAUUGCACAAUGGGCGCAAGCCUGAUGCAGCCAUGCCGCGUGUAUGAAGAAGGCCUUCGGGUUGUAAAGUACUUUCAGCGGGGAGGCGUUACCCGCAGAAGAAGCACCGGCUAACUCCGUGCCAGCAGCCGCGGUAAUAC
RNAcentral lists this ribosomal RNA (406 nucleotides) under uncultured bacterium. Its description in RNAcentral is "partial 16S ribosomal RNA". It matches the Rfam family "Bacterial small subunit ribosomal RNA", at positions 30 to 526 of the family's 1533-position model. The record is from RNAcentral.